Molecule: non-coding RNA, 30 nt
Filed under: Homo sapiens (human)
Lineage: Eukaryota; Metazoa; Chordata; Mammalia; Primates; Hominidae
Source: RNAcentral
UGGAUUAGAUUUAGUUCUUCCUGCACGAUG